This 273-nucleotide ribosomal RNA is filed under the name uncultured Bacillus sp. RNAcentral describes it as "partial 16S ribosomal RNA". It matches the Rfam family "Bacterial small subunit ribosomal RNA", at positions 524 to 796 of the family's 1533-position model. Lineage: Bacteria; Bacillati; Bacillota; Bacilli; Caryophanales; Bacillaceae. The record is from RNAcentral.
UACGUAGGUGGCAAGCGUUAUCCGGAAUUAUUGGGCGUAAAGCGCGCGCAGGUGGUUUCUUAAGUCUGAUGUGAAAGCCCACGGCUCAACCGUGGAGGGUCAUUGGAAACUGGGAGACUUGAGUGCAGAAGAGGAAAGUGGAAUUCCAUGUGUAGCGGUGAAAUGUGUAGAGAUAUGGAGGAACACCAGUGGCGAAGGCGACUUUCUGGUCUGUAACUGACACUGAGGCGCGAAAGCGUGGGGAGCAAACUGGAUUAGAUACCCCAGUAGUCC